Chenopodium quinoa (quinoa) is the source of this 653-nucleotide long non-coding RNA. RefSeq lists it as uncharacterized. The transcript has 2 exons. The record is from RefSeq and is a predicted model, not a curated record. NCBI's taxonomy places the organism in Eukaryota, Viridiplantae, Streptophyta, Magnoliopsida, Caryophyllales, Amaranthaceae.
CCGGUUGCCAAAAUGCAAAUGGCAAGCGGUUUUGGAUGAACCGCUUGCCAAAAUGUAAAUGGAAAGUGGUUUGAGCAUUGAACCGCUUGCCAUUGGUUAAAAAAACCCUUACAAAUUAGAAACCCAUCCCACACAUUCACUCGGCGCCUCUAUCCUCUCUCUCCCCUCAUUUUCACGGUUCUCCUCUCUCUCUCCUCUCAACUUCUUACGCUCUAUCUCCUCUCUUCCUCCAUCACGCCUCACUUCUCUCUCCCCCUCCCCCUCCAUCUCCUUCUCUUUCUUCCCUCGACCUCCCUUCUGUCCUUUCUCACGCCUCACCACAACAGCUACGAGUGACCAGCAACCUUCGACGAGCGACCAGCGACGAGAAGAAGGCGGUAGGGUUCAGAUCUUCCGGCUCGGCGUUUGGGUAUUACGCUGCUUCUCAUGUCAGUCUCGCUUUAAUUUCCGAUACGGGUGAAUCGGGAUAGGGUGCUGGUGGCGGUGAUAGGUGGCGCGCGCGGCUGGUGGUUUGCAUGCUGGUGGUGGAACUGGAACAAGAGCAGAAAAUCAGAAAAUUAAUAAUUUAUAUAUUGUAUUUUUUUUGAAGGAUCAGAAAAUGUAAUAUUGAAGAAAUUGAUUAAUGAAAAUAGUUAUGGUUAUACAUAUGUUAA